This 795-nucleotide long non-coding RNA is filed under the name Triticum aestivum (bread wheat). RNAcentral describes it as "long non-coding RNA (TAES_LNC000009)". Lineage: Eukaryota; Viridiplantae; Streptophyta; Magnoliopsida; Poales; Poaceae. The record is from RNAcentral.
UAACUAGAAUGGCAAUCACAGUAUUACAACGCGGAUACAUUUUUUUAUAGGUAAACACAGAUACAUCAUACAACAGAAAUACAAUGGCAGUCACAAUAAUACAUAUACAUGUAUUACAAGCUCUACUGCUCCUGUCCAUGGACCUCCUUUCAAUCUGCUUUUGCAUGGAGCUUCUUUUGCAUAGAGCUCCUAUCAGAGGAAAUCCACAUUGUUAGUACUACUAACAAUAAAAACAAUUAAGAACAAAAUACAGAACAAGUAUACAAGCAAGCAGUUGGGUACAUAUCACUUUGGAAAGCACAAAAUACCAUUUUGCUGGACAUGAAAAUCAUAGUACUAACCACAUCAACAGUCUUUUAUUGCAGGGUCAACAAUGAAAUAGAAGCAUAAUUAAUAGCUCUAAAUCUAUAAGAAUCAUAAUUAAUAACUAAUAAAAGGUACAUGUAAUUGACAGGAAGCGCAUAACUCGACACUCGUUAUUAACAUGUAAACUGUUUAGAGCAUUUAAGUUGGCACAUGACAAAAUAAACAUUCGGUGAACAUUGAAUAUCCAGGAGUGAAUGAUUUAGCAUGUAGUGAACAUGGAAGACUUCACAAACACAAAAACUCAAGCUGCUAGUGUACACGGGGUGCUUGAGCUCCUGCUGCUUAGUACAUAUACAUGGUAGAAUCCUGCUACUAGUGUUCUAAACCAACAGAGCAUGUUAUAGGAGUAGAAAAGAGGGAGCUAGGGGUAGGAGAUGGAGCCAACUCACCGGAGAACUUCUGGUCGCCACCGUACACAGCCGCCAUAAC